Molecule: ribosomal RNA, 163 nt
Filed under: uncultured bacterium
Lineage: Bacteria
Description: partial 16S ribosomal RNA
Rfam family: Bacterial small subunit ribosomal RNA
Source: RNAcentral
UAGGGAAUCUUCCACAAUGGACGAAAGUCUGAUGGAGCAACGCCGCGUGAGUGAAGAAGGGUUUCGGCUCGUUAAAGCUCUGUUGGUAGUGAAGAAAGAUAGAGGUAGUAACUGGCCUUUAUUUGACGGUAAUUACUUAGAAAGUCACGGCUAACUACGUGCC